AGCAGCCGCGGUAAUUCCAGCUCCAAUAGCGUAUAUUAAAGUUGUUGCAGUUAAAAAGCUCGUAGUUGAAUUUCGAGACCGGUUUAUUGGUCGUGCUUUUGUACGUACUGGUAUUAUUGGUUUCUCCUUUCUGACGAAUCAUAAUGCCAUUAAUUUGGUGUUUUGGGGAAUCAGGACUGUUACUUUGAAAAAAUUGAGUGUUUAAAGCAGGCUCACGCUUGAAUACAUUAGCAUGGAAUAACGAAAUAGGACGUUUGAUUUUAUUUGUUGGUUUCUAGGAUUGACGUAAUGAUUAAUAGGGAUAGUUGGGGGACAUUAGUAUUCAAUUGUCAGAGGUGAAAUUCUUGGAUUUAUUGAAGACUAACUACUG
This 370-nucleotide ribosomal RNA is filed under the name uncultured Glomus. RNAcentral describes it as "SSU rRNA". It matches the Rfam family "Eukaryotic small subunit ribosomal RNA", at positions 569 to 945 of the family's 1831-position model. The record is from RNAcentral. Lineage: Eukaryota; Fungi; Glomeromycota; Glomeromycetes; Glomerales; Glomeraceae.